GACGAACGCUGGCGGCGUGCUUAACACAUGCAAGUCGAGCGGUAAGGCCCUUUCGGGGGUACGACGAGCGGCGAACGGGUGAGUAACACGUGGGUGACCUGCCCUCAGCUCUGGGAUAAGCCUGGGAAACCGGGUCUAAUACCGGAUAUGACUCCAUGACGCAUGUUGUGGGGUGGAAAGCCUUGUGCGGCUGAGGAUGGGCCCGCGGCCUAUCAGCUUGUUGGUGGGGUGAUGGCCUACCAAGGCGACGACGGGUAGCCGGCCUGAGAGGGCGACCGGCCACACUGGGACUGAGGCACGGCCCAGACUCCUACGGGAGGCAGCAGUGGGGAAUCUUGCGCAAUGGGCGAAAAGCCUGACGCAGCGACGCCGCGUGAGGGAUGACGGCC
RNAcentral lists this ribosomal RNA (389 nucleotides) under uncultured bacterium. Its description in RNAcentral is "bacterial SSU rRNA". It matches the Rfam family "Bacterial small subunit ribosomal RNA", at positions 28 to 416 of the family's 1533-position model. The record is from RNAcentral.